RNAcentral lists this ribosomal RNA (253 nucleotides) under uncultured bacterium. RNAcentral's name for it is "partial 16S ribosomal RNA". It matches the Rfam family "Bacterial small subunit ribosomal RNA", at positions 524 to 776 of the family's 1533-position model. The record is from RNAcentral.
UACGGAGGGGGCGAGCGUUAUUCGGAAUUAUUGGGCGUAAAGGGCGCGUAGGCGGCUGUACAAGUCAAAGGUGAAAUCCCUCGGCUCAACUGAGGAACUGCCUUUGAAACUGUACGGCUUGAGGCCGGGAGGGGGUAGCGGAAUUCCCAGUGUAGCGGUGAAAUUCGUAGAUAUCGGGAGGAACACCAGUGGCGAAGGCGGCGAUCUGGGUCGAUACUGACGCUGAGGUGCGAAAGCGUGGGGAGCAAACAGG